RNAcentral lists this ribosomal RNA (386 nucleotides) under uncultured bacterium. RNAcentral describes it as "bacterial SSU rRNA". It matches the Rfam family "Bacterial small subunit ribosomal RNA", at positions 28 to 417 of the family's 1533-position model. The record is from RNAcentral.
GACGAACGCUGGCGGCGUGCUUAACACAUGCAAGUCGAGCGGUAAGGCCCUCGGGUACGACGAGCGGCGAACGGGUGAGUAACACGUGGGUGACCUGCCUCUAGCUCUGGGAUAAGCCUGGGAAACUGGGUCGUAAUACCGGAUAUGACUCCACGGCGCAUGUUGUGGGGUGGAAAGCCUUGUGUGGCUAGAGAUGGGCCCGCGGCCUAUCAGCUUGUUGGUGGGGUGAUGGCCUACCAAGGCGACGACGGGUAGCCGGCCUGAGAGGGCGACCGGCCACACUGGGACUGAGACACGGCCCAGACUCCUACGGGAGGCAGCAGUGGGGAAUCUUGCGCAAUGGGCGAAAGCCUGACGCAGCGACGCCGCGUGAGGGAUGACGGCCU